CUACAGAGGCAAUAAAAAAGAUCCAUGAUUGCCAGAGGCCUAGGUGGGAGGGAAGGACGAGCAGGUGGAGCUCAGAGGAUUUUUCAGGGCAGUGAAACUAUUCUGUAUGAUACUAUCUGUAAGAGUGGAUUCAUGUCAUUGUACAUUUGUCAAACCCCAGAGAAUGCACAAGACAGCAUGAACUCUAAUGUAAACUAUGGACUUUGGGUGAUGAUGUGUCAGCGUUGGUUCAUCAGUUGUAACAAAUGUUACUGAUAUAACAAAUCCCACUGAUGAGGGACGCUGAUGGUUACGGAGCCUGGGUG
Non-coding RNA from Ceratotherium simum simum (southern white rhinoceros), 305 nucleotides. The record is from RefSeq and is a predicted model, not a curated record. NCBI's taxonomy places the organism in Eukaryota, Metazoa, Chordata, Mammalia, Perissodactyla, Rhinocerotidae.